This 91-nucleotide small nucleolar RNA is filed under the name Xylariales sp. No.14919. Its description in RNAcentral is "fungal sp. No.14919 A. fumigatus snoRNA Afu_335". It matches the Rfam family "A. fumigatus snoRNA Afu_335". The record is from Rfam by way of RNAcentral. Lineage: Eukaryota; Fungi; Ascomycota; Sordariomycetes; Xylariales.
UUCUAUGAUGAAGCCCAGAUAGGGACAGCUGAAACAUUUUUUUGAUGCGAACCCUGGGCCAGUAUUUUAGUAGAUGCUCUGGUAUCUGAGA